This 77-nucleotide transfer RNA is filed under the name Paenimyroides tangerinum. RNAcentral's name for it is "Flavobacterium sp. YIM 102701-2 tRNA-Thr". It matches the Rfam family "tRNA". Rfam says of the family: Transfer RNA (tRNA) molecules are approximately 80 nucleotides in length. Their secondary structure includes four short double-helical elements and three loops (D, anti-codon, and T loops). The record is from RNAcentral. Lineage: Bacteria; Pseudomonadati; Bacteroidota; Flavobacteriia; Flavobacteriales; Flavobacteriaceae.
GCCGGUGUAGCUCAGUUGGCUAGAGCAGCUGAUUUGUAAUCAGCAGGUCGUGGGUUCGAGUCCCUCCAUCGGCUCUA